RNAcentral lists this ribosomal RNA (324 nucleotides) under uncultured bacterium. Its description in RNAcentral is "bacterial SSU rRNA". It matches the Rfam family "Bacterial small subunit ribosomal RNA", at positions 28 to 355 of the family's 1533-position model. The record is from RNAcentral.
GACGAACGCUGGCGGCGUGCUUAACACAUGCAAGUCGAGCGGUAAGGCCCUUUCGGGGGUACGACGAGCGGCGAACGGGUGAGUAACACGUGGGUGACCUGCCCUCAGCUCUGGGAGAAGCCUGGGAAACCGGGUCUAAUACCGGAUAUGACUCCAUGACGCAUGUUGUGGGGUGGAAAGCCUUGUGCGGCUGAGGAUGGGCCCGCGGCCUAUCAGCUUGUUGGUGGGGUGAUGGCCUACCAAGGCGACGACGGUAGCCGGCCUGAGAGGCGACGGCCACACUGGGACUGAGACACGGCCCAGACUCCUACGGGAGGCAGCAGU